Molecule: ribosomal RNA, 1305 nt
Filed under: Ungaliophis continentalis
Lineage: Eukaryota; Metazoa; Chordata; Lepidosauria; Squamata; Ungaliophiidae
Description: partial 16S ribosomal RNA
Rfam family: Bacterial large subunit ribosomal RNA
Source: RNAcentral
GCCGAAACAUAGUCCAACCAAUCCACAAAAAUCCCAAAAACCCAAAACAAAUCAUUUGACUAACCUAGUAGAUGCGAUCGAACACUACACCUGGCACAAUAACUACAGUACCGCAAGGGAAAAAACUUAAAGCAUCAAACAGCAAAGAUUAAACCUUGUACCUUUUGCAUCAUGGUUUAGCAAGCACAACGGACAAGAAGAACCAAAGCCCAAAAUCCCGAAACCAGGUGAGCUACUUUUAAAAGCAGCCUCACGGGCACAUCCUUCUCUGUGGCAAAAGAGUGGAAAGACUUAAAAGUAGAGGUGAAAUGCCUACCGAACCUGGAGAUAGCUGGUUGCCCAAAUAACGGAUCAAAGUCCCACUUUAGGCCAUAAAUACCAACCAUAGUCACCUAAAGACAUUCAAUAGGGGUACAGCUCUAUUGAAACAGGAUACAACCUGACACUGUGAGCUAAACAAACCAAUAAGACAAGUAGGCCUUUAAGCAGCCACCUAAAAAAAUAUCGUUAAAGAAUUACAGAAUAAAAAUACCAAAAUAAACUAAAUACUCCAAACUAACUAAGGGCUAAUCUAUCAACAUAGACAAACUAAUGCUAAAACUAAUAAUGAGAAAAAUUCUCUGAGCGCGUCCAUCCACUAGAAACAGAAAACCUACUAGCAAUUAACAGACUAUAAAAAAAUAUAAUCACCCUCUUCACAAAUUAUUCCCCCACUGUGACCCCGACACAGGCGCGCUAAAAAGAAAGAUAAAAUAUUACAAAAGGAACUCGGGCAACCAGCGGCUCCAACUGUUUACCAAAAACAUAACCUUUAGCCCUCAAACCAGUAUUAAAGGCAACGCCUGCCCAGUGAUAUCAUUCAACGGCCGCGGUAUCCUAACCGUGCAAAGGUAGCGAAAUCAUUUGUCUAUUAAUUGUAGACCCGUAUGAAAGGCCACAUGAGAGCCAAACUGUCUCUUGUAAUAAAUCAAUUAAACUGAUCCCCUAGUACAAAAGCUAGAAUAAAUAUAUAAGACCAGAAGACCCUGUGAAGCUUAAACUAACCUGUUAAACCAACUAACAGCUACUUUAGGUUGGGGCGACCUUGGAACAAAACAAAACUUCCAAAUACCAUAAGCCAUACCUUAUAUACAGGCCCACAAGCCUCUAUAUGACCCAGUACUACUGAUAACUGAACCAAGUUACUCCAGGGAUAACAGCGCUAUCUUCUUCAAGAGCCCAUAUCAAAAAGAAGGUUUACGACCUCGAUGUUGGAUCAGGACACCCAAAUGGUGCAGCCGCUAUUAAAGGUUCGUUUGUUCAACG